This is a long non-coding RNA of Bufo bufo (common toad), 386 nucleotides long. RefSeq lists it as uncharacterized. The transcript is spliced from 2 exons. The record is from RefSeq and is a predicted model, not a curated record. Lineage: Eukaryota; Metazoa; Chordata; Amphibia; Anura; Bufonidae.
GAAUAGGGAGUGCAGCUCUGGAGAAUAAUACAGGAUGUAACUCAGGAUAAGUAAUACAUGUACACAGUGACUGCACUUUUUAUGUAAUCAUAUCUGUGGAAUUAGGCUUUAAACCUGGAGAGGGGGCAACAUAUUCCAGCUUUUAUGAACACACAGUACUGCACAGAGAACAUCUCCGGCAUACUGUGAGAGGAGUGCACAGCUGCCUGGAUUAUAUAUAUCAUAUAUGUGGUUUUCAGGUCCCAUUAUUGACAUAAGUACUCCUCCACGUCAAACCUGCUAAACUAGCACAAACAAGAUUGCACGCCCUCUCCUUAGGGCAACAGUGAUAAUUGCACCCACCAUUCUAGGUCUCGCCCUAAAGAUCUGAAAAAGCACAACAUAUG